GGAUUAGCAGGUUGGUCGUGCCACUGGUAUGAACUGGCCUUGCUGAUUCCUCCCUCUUGAUGAGCCGUAAUGCCAUUAAUUUGGUGUUGCGAGGAAUCAGGACUGUUACUUUGAAAAAAUUAGAGUGUUCAAAACAGGCAUUUGCUUGUAUACAUUAGCAUGGAAUAACGGAAUAGGACU
RNAcentral lists this ribosomal RNA (180 nucleotides) under uncultured Glomeromycotina. RNAcentral describes it as "partial small subunit ribosomal RNA". Lineage: Eukaryota; Fungi; Glomeromycota. The record is from RNAcentral.